CCAUAUAAUUUAGGGUUUGUUCAAUUUUAGCAGGUGGAGUUAGAGAGUCAAACGUCGUAGUUCUUUGCUUCUCACCACCAAAGACGGUCGUCGUUGUAAUAUCUUCAUUAAUCAUCACUUGAAAACAUUGAUCCAAGCAUUAAGAUUUUCUGCACCACUCCUCCCACUCUCUCGAAUUAAAUCGACCAUAACAUCCUCCAAAGUAAUCGCCUGAAGCUUCACCUAUAAAUGGCUUUGUUGCCUAGGAUGAACAGUACUAUCAAAACGAAAUCCCAAAGGUCUUCCUCUGUCAAGCAUCAAAUCGAUCAAUGGCGAAUCAUUUACUCUUCUCCCCGAUUUUAAAGCUAAACACUGUUCAAACACAGCCGAGAGAUUCUAAGAGGCAAGAAAUGUUAAGAAAGGCUGCCAACUCAUGGAUGUCCGCAUGCUUCUCCUUGACGAGCAUGUAACUCCGGCGAACCACCACCCUCUUUUAUCAGCUCUUUCCACUUAUUUAACGAUUUUGAAUGUCUUUCCACUUAUUAUGUCUUUCUCAAACAGUCAACGAGAAAGUACCUAUUAACAAUCUUAUUCCCAAUAUCUGUUUUUGGAUUGAACUUCAAACUAACCAAAAUUUAUUUACUCUGUUUUUUUUUCAGUCGAUUUUGAUUCAAGGUUCCAUCGCUUAAUAUUUUCAGAAAUCUCUUGAAGAAACGAGGGAUGUACGAGGUUCGUAGUAUUGAUGUCUCUGGAAGCAACAGCCACGUCAAAGUCUCCGACGCACCAGUUUCUAUAUGUUUCACUGACCACACAAGCUUUGUCGAGGUCACGGAACCGACAGUGAAUCAUCCUACAGAGAAGUUUCGUUUACAAAUGUAUGAUCAACUCAAGGCUUUGGCUAACACUAACGUGGAUUUGGCUGGUUUGUAUAACAACUUUCAACUCAUACUUUAACCGUAUGUUCUCCAUUUAAGCAGAUGCUCCUAACACUUAUGUUUGCAAUGUUUGUUGCAGACAUCAUGAGCAAAGUUAGUAGUGUCAACACUGUUUUUAAUGAUGAAAACCAGUCCAUAUAGCUGGUCUUAAAAUGUUAACUGCUGAAGUUUUGUUUCAGGUCGGCUUCCUGAAUGCAACCUCUGCAAUUCAUUUCUAUUUUGAUAAUGAGAAUUGUGCAGGUACAAGUUAUCUUGAGAGGUAAUGACUUUGACCACUAUUUUCUACAACACAGAGAAUACCUUAAUAGUCCAACUCACUGACUGAAAGCGGUUCUUAUUUAGGACAGGGGCAGGGGCAAAGGCUUGACCUCCAUCCCUACAAAAUAUGGGGGUGUUAAGAAGAUUAAUCAAAUGGUAGCAGAGCUUAAUGACUUCGGCCUGAAAUCUCCACCUCAGGUACGCCGUUAAAUGGAUGGUUCUACAUUUCUUGCUCCAAGUGCUACCGGGAAUUGCAGGGUGGAUUUACAUCAUUCACAUGGGCUUCCUGCAAUGAAGUGAACGCUACCGCAGGUGUGCAAGAGCCACAGGAUUGUGACCUUCCACAAUGCUUAGAGGAGAUUAUUGGGAGCACUUUAACCUUCCAAUUGAACCUACCUCACUUCAACUUCACUGCAAAACAUCAGAGCUUCACCGUGUCUUGCAUUCUCGACAACAACCAGCGCCCUCCCCAGCGUAAUUUUGAGGUUCAUGGUGGGAAUGACAACCCUGAAGAUAAUAUGCCAGGUGCUGGAGCAAUAAAAAAAAACCACAGUAUUGGACUUAAGAGCACACUGUGAAUGUGGUAAUCGUGUUGGUAAUGGUGAUGUUGAAGGUGGAAGAGGUGAGGCAUCAGAUCCACGAGACAACUCUGUUGACGGAAGCAGCACAGGAGAGGGGGCACCUGUGGAGGAAGAUUGGUGUUCUGCAGAGAAGACACGGAAUGAUUAAAAACGUUAAGAGAUCAAGGGGUGCUUAGGUUGCAAGACAAGAUGGCGUUUCUAUGCAUUAGUUUUUAAAUAAAUUUCCAGACACUAUUACGUCUUGAGUACUACAAAGUUUCUGCUUUUAUUAUUUCCAGUUUUCUUAUUGUAACUUAUUUCCAGUUUUUUUGUUUAGAACAUUUUAGUCAUAUCAGUUUUCUUUUUGCAUUUAAAAAUAUUAAUAUCAUGUUCUCAAACACCGUUCCCUAUUCCUAGGAAAGCAUAAUCUAAUAUUCUCAAACAUUAACCAGAAUAUU
Brassica napus (rape) is the source of this 2190-nucleotide long non-coding RNA. RefSeq lists it as uncharacterized. The record is from RefSeq and is a predicted model, not a curated record. The transcript is spliced from 3 exons. Lineage: Eukaryota; Viridiplantae; Streptophyta; Magnoliopsida; Brassicales; Brassicaceae.